Molecule: transfer RNA, 385 nt
Filed under: Argonema galeatum A003/B4
Lineage: Bacteria; Bacillati; Cyanobacteriota; Cyanophyceae; Oscillatoriales; Oscillatoriaceae
Description: partial 16S-23S ribosomal RNA intergenic spacer
Source: RNAcentral
UUUAGGGAGACCUGCUUCGUCUUGACCGAAAUCAAAUCAUGAGGUCAGAUGCAAGUUAUCCCAGGUCGGACGAGAAUUAGUGUAGGCUUUCAAACUAUUGAUGGGUUUCGGAACAUGGGCUAUUAGCUCAGGUGGUUAGAGCGCACCCCUGAUAAGGGUGAGGUCCCUGGUUUCGAGUCCAGGAUGGCCCACCUYUACUUCCUUUUGGUAAACAGCCGUAAAAACUUGUGGCUUUUUCCCAAGUAGGGAGAAAACAAAAAAACCAAAAAAAUCUCAUCAGAUUCUGAGCGUUCACUGUGAUAGCCUAGAUAAAGUGAGUAAAAGAGUACAGCAACUGCACCAAUCAAAAAGUGGUCAGCGUGCUGGAUGUCUUACCAGCCAGAAC